This 339-nucleotide unclassified non-coding RNA is filed under the name Basidiomycota sp. RNAcentral describes it as "partial contains small subunit ribosomal RNA, internal transcribed spacer 1, and 5.8S ribosomal RNA". The stretch from base 1 to 47 matches the Rfam family "Eukaryotic small subunit ribosomal RNA", at positions 1785 to 1831 of the family's 1831-position model. Lineage: Eukaryota; Fungi; Basidiomycota. The record is from RNAcentral.
AAAGUCGUAACAAGGUUUCCGUAGGUGAACCUGCGGAAGGAUCAUUACCGAAUCAUAUGGGCCCCUCUUGUAGGUAGACCAAUGCCAUGCAACGGCCUGCAGUCAGAAUUCGAUGCGAAUCUAAGAGCUCGCCCCUUGAUCUGGAUGCUCAUUGCCCAGGCGAUUGAAAUGCUCUUUUCAAGAGGUUGAGGUUUGGAUGUCGGAUGCUGUUGCAGCAGGGGCAGGCCUUGGAUCUCCUAUGCUUUUUCUUUUCCACCACACAAAACCUGUCAUCGUAUGGUGUUGCACUUGAACAUAUACUGUAUAAUAUAACUUUCAACAACGGAUCUCUUGGCUCUC